CUAAUAAUACUUCUCUUUGUUUUUCUUGAAGUCAGUUAAGAUUUCAAACUUCUUAGUUCCGGAUUGAGUAUCAUUUCUACUUCUGAAAUUUUAUCUUGUACUUCAACAUUUUUGAAGGGGGAGAUUAUACAAAAAAUUUAUUCAACAUUAAAAACAAUGAGUUCAACAGUUUGAUUAUACAAUAAGAAAAGAUGAAUUAAUAUUACAAAUAGGAGAAAAGCAAAUAAAAAUCGUCAGUUGUUCGUGAUAAAGUACUUGAACUCUUCAUAUGCAUUUGGUAUAGCUAAUAGGACGGCGCCCCAUGUAUCAAUACUUACAUCAGUAUUCAAGACUAGUAAAUCACUAGGCUUCGCUAGAUAUAGCCUCGGUAAAUUUUUGCAUAAACUUUUCAAGAGCUCAGAAAGAUGAAGCAACUACAAGCAAUGGAACAUUUGGAGAAAGAUUUCAACGAAAUGGAGGAAAAGAGGAAAGAGAAAGGAAAGGAGCCUGCAAGAAGAGGAGGAGAUUUUGUGGAAGCCAAACCAGAAAGGAAUGAAAAUUCUAAAAAAUGGUUUUAUCGAAACACAAGAACAUUUAUCAGAAAAAAU
RNAcentral lists this long non-coding RNA (587 nucleotides) under Nicotiana benthamiana. RNAcentral's name for it is "long non-coding RNA (NBEN_LNC022269)". Lineage: Eukaryota; Viridiplantae; Streptophyta; Magnoliopsida; Solanales; Solanaceae. The record is from RNAcentral.